ACGGGAGGCAGCAGUGGGGAAUAUUGCACAAUGGGGGAAACCCUGAUGCAGCGACGCCGCGUGAGCGAUGAAGUAUUUCGGUAUGUAAAGCUCUAUCAGCAGGGAAGAUAAUGACGGUACCUGACUAAGAAGCUCCGGCUAAAUACGUGCCAGCAGCCGCGGUAAUACGUAUGGAGCAAGCGUUAUCCGGAUUUACUGGGUGUAAAGGGAGCGUAGGCGGCAUGGCAAGUCUGAUGUGAAAGGCAGGGGCUCAACCCCUGGACUGCAUUGGAAACUGUCAAGCUAGAGUGUCGGAGGGGUAAGUGGAAUUCCUAGUGUAGCGGUGAAAUGCGUAGAUAUUAGGAGGAACACCAGUGGCGAAGGCGGCUUACUGGACGAUCACUGACGCUGAGGCUCGAAAGCGUGGGGAGCAAACAGGAUUAGAUACCCUGGUA
RNAcentral lists this ribosomal RNA (434 nucleotides) under uncultured bacterium. RNAcentral's name for it is "partial 16S ribosomal RNA". It matches the Rfam family "Bacterial small subunit ribosomal RNA", at positions 341 to 792 of the family's 1533-position model. The record is from RNAcentral.